Molecule: ribosomal RNA, 493 nt
Filed under: uncultured bacterium
Lineage: Bacteria
Description: partial 16S ribosomal RNA
Rfam family: Bacterial small subunit ribosomal RNA
Source: RNAcentral
AUUGAACGCUGGCGGCAUGCUUUACACAUGCAAGUCGAACGGCAGCGGGGAGGAGCUUGCUUCUCUGCCGGCGAGUGGCGAACGGGUGAGUAAUACAUCGGAACGUGUCGAGAAGAGGGGGAUAACCACCCGAAAGGGUGGCUAAUACCGCAUAAAUUCUGAGGAAGAAAGCUGGGGACCUAGGAAUAGGCCUAGCGCUUUUUGAGCGGCCGAUGUCGGAUUAGCUAGUUGGUGAGGUAAAGGCUCACCAAGGCGAAGAUCUGUAGCGGGUCUGAGAGGAUGAUCCGCCACACUGGGACUGAGACACGGCCCAGACUCCUACGGGAGGCAGCAGUGGGGAAUUUUGGACAAUGGGGGCAACCCUGAUCCAGCCAUGCCGCGUGUAUGAAGAAGGCCUUAGGGUUGUAAAGUACUUUUGUUAGGGAAGAAAAGUCAGCUGUGAAUAAUGGCUGAUACUGACGGUACCUAAAGAAUAAGCACCGGCUAACUAUGU